RNAcentral lists this ribosomal RNA (301 nucleotides) under uncultured bacterium. RNAcentral describes it as "partial 16S ribosomal RNA". It matches the Rfam family "Bacterial small subunit ribosomal RNA", at positions 509 to 808 of the family's 1533-position model. The record is from RNAcentral.
CAGUCGCCGCGGGAACACGAAGGGGGCUAGCGUUAAUCGGAAUUACUGGGCGUAAAGCGUGCGUAGGCGGUUUGUUAAGUCUGUUGUGAAAUCCCCGGGCUCAACCUGGGAAUGGCAAUGGAUACUGGCAAGCUAGAGUGUGUCAGAGGAUGGUGGAAUUCCCGGUGUAGCGGUGGAAUGCGUAGAGAUCGGGAGGAACAUCAGUGGCGAAGGCGGCCAUCUGGGACAACACUGACGCUGAGGCACGAAAGCGUGGGGAGCAAACAGGAUUAGAUACCCCGGUAGUCCCUGUCUCUUAACC